GAGUUUGAUCCUGGCUCAGGAUGAACGCUGGCGGCGUGCUUAACACAUGCAAGUCGAACGGGGCACCCCCAAAGGAGUUUUCGGACAACUGCGGGGAGUGCCUAGUGGCGGACGGGUGAGUAACGCGUGAGCAACCUGCCUUGGAGUGGGGAAUAACAGAUGGAAACAUCUGCUAAUACCGCAUGAUGCAGUUGGGCCACAUGGCUCUGACUGCCAAAGAUUUAUCGCUCUGAGAUGGGCUCGCGUCUGAUUAGCUAGUUGGCGGGGUAACGGCCCACCAAGGCGACGAUCAGUAGCCGGACUGAGAGGUUGGCCGGCCACAUUGGGACUGAGACACGGCCCAGACUCCUACGGGAGGCAGCAGUGGGGAAUAUUGGGCAAUGGGCGCAAGCCUGACCCAGCAACGCCGCGUGAAGGAAGAAGGCUUUCGGGUUGUAAACUUCUUUUCUCAGGGACGAACAGAUGACGGUACCUGAGGAAUAAGCCACGGCUAACUACGUGCCAGCAGCCGCGGUAAUACGUAGGUGGCAAGUGUUAUCCGGAUUUACUGGGUGUAAAGGGC
Molecule: ribosomal RNA, 562 nt
Filed under: uncultured bacterium
Lineage: Bacteria
Description: bacterial SSU rRNA
Rfam family: Bacterial small subunit ribosomal RNA
Source: RNAcentral